This 487-nucleotide ribosomal RNA is filed under the name uncultured bacterium. Its description in RNAcentral is "bacterial SSU rRNA". It matches the Rfam family "Bacterial small subunit ribosomal RNA", at positions 29 to 507 of the family's 1533-position model. The record is from RNAcentral.
AUUGAACGCUAGCGGGAUGCCUUACACAUGCAAGUCGAACGGCAGCGCGGACUUCGGUCUGGCGGCGAGUGGCGAACGGGUGAGUAAUGUAUCGGAACGUGCCCAGUAGCGGGGGGAUAACUACUCGAAAGAGUAGCUAAUACCGCAUACGCCCUACGGGGGAAAGGGGGGGAUCGCAAGUGACCUGUCGCUGAAAGAGCGGCCGAUGGUCGAUUAGCUAGUUGGCGGGGUAAAAGCCCACCAAGGCGAUGACCGAUAGCGGGUCUGAGAGGACGAUCCGUCACACUGGGACUGAGACACGGCCCAGACUCCUACGGGAGGCAGCAGUGGGGAAUUUUGGACAAUGGGGGCAACCCUGAUCCAGCCAUGCCGCGUGAGUGAAGAAGGCCUUCGGGUUGUAAAGCUCUUUCGGCCGGGAAGAAAUCGCAUGGGCUAAUACCCUGUGCGGAUGACGGUACCGGCAUAAGAAGCACCGGCUAACUACGUG